UGGUCCUCCCGCAACGUUGAGUUGUGAACUCCGCCAGGCCCGGAAGGGAGCAACGGUAGCGAUGAACGCGUGUGCCGGGAUGUGGCU
RNAcentral lists this signal recognition particle RNA (87 nucleotides) under marine eukaryotic metagenome. RNAcentral describes it as "Bacterial small signal recognition particle RNA". It matches the Rfam family "Bacterial small signal recognition particle RNA", at positions 5 to 90 of the family's 97-position model. Rfam says of the family: The signal recognition particle (SRP) is a universally conserved ribonucleoprotein involved in the co-translational targeting of proteins to membranes. Archaeal SRP consists of a 7S RNA and homologues of the eukaryotic SRP19 and SRP54 proteins. The record is from RNAcentral.